Small nucleolar RNA from Ornithorhynchus anatinus (platypus), 138 nucleotides. NCBI's taxonomy places the organism in Eukaryota, Metazoa, Chordata, Mammalia, Monotremata, Ornithorhynchidae. The record is from RefSeq and is a predicted model, not a curated record.
CCCCUCUCGAGGUCAUAGCCGGAGAGUUUCCAGGACUCUACCGGUCUUGACUACGGGAGGGAAAGUCAAUCAGAGGCGUAUGCAUUCCAUUCCUAGCUUGGACAGUGGCUAGUGAGAGGAAGGCAAUCUGCUGUAAGU